CGAUAACUGACCGAAGCUUCUACCAUAUUAAUUUUGCGUGAAAGGCACAUUUGAAUGUAUUCUUCUGCUUUCUUUACAACGCCAAAAUAUGUAAUGUUUUAUUAUAUAAAAACAAUAUUUUAACAGAGCAAGCUUGAGCACUUUUGUGGAACAGGAAACUCUAGUCCUUGCCUUCUUGGCUCUCUUCCACCCCAGUACAGGCGUUAGCCAUUUGCUUUCUACAGUCUGUAGCUACCAUUUCUAAGUAAGGCAUCCAGAAGCCCACGGGAGUAGGAAGAGAAGUGCAAUAUACAAUUUGCUCACCCAAAAACCAGCUCUCUAACUUGAAAUUGUAAAAUUACAGAACAAGAUAUACCAUGUUAUUGCUGCUUCCCUCUGAAAAUAUACAAGACAAAUGGCCUUUAGCGUCUUCUGUCGAUUUUCCUAUGGGUUUUACUUGAGCACAUCAAUAAAGCAGCAGGAGGACAAACGCCAAACAAAGAAUGAUGUCGUUGAUCAAUCUCACCUUAAACAACAAAAACUAUUCCUUUUUAAGACACAUCUACAGUGAUACAGC
This 556-nucleotide unclassified non-coding RNA is filed under the name Hevea brasiliensis (rubber tree). Lineage: Eukaryota; Viridiplantae; Streptophyta; Magnoliopsida; Malpighiales; Euphorbiaceae. The record is from RNAcentral.